GGACUCUUAGCUCAGUUGGUUUAGAGCGCUACCUUGACACGGUAGAGGUCAGAGGUUCGAAUCCUCUAGAGUCCA
RNAcentral lists this transfer RNA (75 nucleotides) under Bacteroidota bacterium. RNAcentral describes it as "Bacteroidetes bacterium (wastewater metagenome) tRNA-Val". It matches the Rfam family "tRNA". From Rfam's summary of the family: Transfer RNA (tRNA) molecules are approximately 80 nucleotides in length. Their secondary structure includes four short double-helical elements and three loops (D, anti-codon, and T loops). RNAcentral also lists the same sequence under 1 other name. Lineage: Bacteria; Pseudomonadati; Bacteroidota. The record is from RNAcentral.